RNAcentral lists this ribosomal RNA (468 nucleotides) under uncultured bacterium. Its description in RNAcentral is "partial 16S ribosomal RNA". It matches the Rfam family "Bacterial small subunit ribosomal RNA", at positions 28 to 507 of the family's 1533-position model. The record is from RNAcentral.
GACGAACGCUGGCGGCGUGCUUAACACAUGCAAGUCGAACGGAAAGGCCCUGCUUUUGUGGGGUGCUCGAGUGGCGAACGGGUGAGUAACACGUGAGUAACCUGCCCUUGACUUUGGGAUAACUUCAGGAAACUGGGGCUAAUACCGGAUAGGAGCUCCUGCUGCAUGGUGGGGGUUGGAAAGUUUCGGCGGUUGGGGAUGGACUCGCGGCUUAUCAGCUUGUUGGUGGGGUAGUGGCUUACCAAGGCUUUGACGGGUAGCCGGCCUGAGAGGGUGACCGGCCACAUUGGGACUGCGAUACGGCCCAGACUCCUACGGGAGGCAGCAGUGGGGAAUAUUGCACAAUGGGCGGAAGCCUGAUGCAGCAACGCCGCGUGCGGGAUGACGGCCUUCGGGUUGUAAACCGCUUUCGCCUGUGACGAAGCGUGAGUGACGGUAAUGGGUAAAGAAGCACCGGCUAACUACGCG